RNAcentral lists this ribosomal RNA (452 nucleotides) under uncultured bacterium. Its description in RNAcentral is "bacterial SSU rRNA". It matches the Rfam family "Bacterial small subunit ribosomal RNA", at positions 29 to 524 of the family's 1533-position model. The record is from RNAcentral.
AGCGAACGCUGGCGGCAGGCCUAAUACAUGCAAGUCGAGCGCACCUUCGGGUGAGCGGCGGACGGGUGAGUAACGCGUGGGAACGUGCCCUUUGGUACGGAACAACUGAGGGAAACUUCAGCUAAUACCGUAUGUGCCCUUCGGGGGAAAGGAUUUAUUCGCCAUUGGAGCGGCCCGCGUUGGAUUAGGUAGUUGGUGAGGUAAAGGCUCACCAAGCCUACGAUCCAUAGCUGGUCUGAGAGGAUUAUCAGCCACACUGGGACUGAGACACGGCCCAGACUCCUACGGGAGGCAGCAGUAGGGAAUCUUGCGCAAUGGGCGAAAGCCUGACGCAGCCAUGCCGCGUGAAUGAUGAAGGUCUUAGGAUUGUAAAAUUACUUUCACCGGGGAAGAUAAUGACGGUACCCGGACGAAGAAGCCCCGGCUAACUUCGUGCCAGCAGCCGCGGUAAU